GGGCUCACUUCGGCAGCACGUAUACUAAAAUUGGAACAAUACAGAGAAGAUCAGUAUGGCCCCUGUGCAAGGAUAACAUGUAAAUUCAAGAAGCGUUCCGUAUUUUU
This is a small nuclear RNA of Hyaena hyaena (striped hyena), 107 nucleotides long. NCBI's taxonomy places the organism in Eukaryota, Metazoa, Chordata, Mammalia, Carnivora, Hyaenidae. The record is from RefSeq and is a predicted model, not a curated record.